AACGAACGCUGGCGGCAUGCCUAACACAUGCAAGUCGAACGAGAUCUUCGGGUCUAGUGGCGCACGGGUGCGUAACGCGUGGGAAUCUGCCCUUUGGUUCGGAAUAACAGUUGGAAACGACUGCUAAUACCGGAUGAUGACGAAAGUCCAAAGAUUUAUCGCCAGAGGAUGAGCCCGCGUAGGAUUAGCUAGUUGGUGUGGUAAAGGCGCACCAAGGCGACGAUCCUUAGCUGGUCUGAGAGGAUGAUCAGCCACACUGGGACUGAGACACGGCCCAGACUCCUACGGGAGGCAGCAGUGGGGAAUAUUGGACAAUGGGCGAAAGCCUGAUCCAGCAAUGCCGCGUGAGUGAUGAAGGCCUUAGGGUUGUAAAGCUCUUUCGCACGCGACGAUGAUGACGGUAGCGUGAGAAGAAGCCCCGGCUAACUUCGUGCCAGCCGCCGCGGUAA
Molecule: ribosomal RNA, 449 nt
Filed under: uncultured bacterium
Lineage: Bacteria
Description: partial 16S ribosomal RNA
Rfam family: Bacterial small subunit ribosomal RNA
Source: RNAcentral